GAUGAACGCUGGCGGCGUGCCUAAUACAUGCAAGUCGAGCGAACAGACGAGGAGCUUGCUCCUCUGACGUUAGCGGCGGAUGGGUGAGUAACACGUGGAUAACCUACCUAUAUGACUGGGAUAACUUCGGGAAACCGGAGCUAAUACCGGAUAAUAUAUUGAACCGUAUGGUUCAAUAGUGAAAGUCGGUUUUGCUGUCACUCAUAGAUGGAUCCGCGCCGCAUUAGCUAGUUGGUAAGGUAACGGCUUACCAAGGCAACGAUGCGUAGCCGACCUGAGAGGGUGAUCGGCCACACUGGAACUGAGACACGGUCCAGACUCCUACGGGACGCAGCAGUAGGGAAUCUUCCGCAAUGGGCGAGAGCCUGACGGAGCAACGCCGCGUGAGUGAUGAAGGUCUUCGGAUCGUAAAACUCUGUUAUUAGGGAAGAACAAAUGUGUAAGUAACUAUGCACAUCUUGACGGUACCUAAUCAGAAAGCCACGGCUAACUACGUG
This 497-nucleotide ribosomal RNA is filed under the name uncultured bacterium. RNAcentral's name for it is "partial 16S ribosomal RNA". It matches the Rfam family "Bacterial small subunit ribosomal RNA", at positions 28 to 507 of the family's 1533-position model. The record is from RNAcentral.